Non-coding RNA from Benincasa hispida (wax gourd), 649 nucleotides. The record is from RefSeq and is a predicted model, not a curated record. NCBI's taxonomy places the organism in Eukaryota, Viridiplantae, Streptophyta, Magnoliopsida, Cucurbitales, Cucurbitaceae.
GGGUAUAAAGGGAAAAACUUGGAGAAGGGGUUGACAUUUUUUCAUAUAAAUGUAUUCUUAUAGCCCAAUUAGGGCUUGAGUUUUUUAUUACACAAAAAAAAAAAAAAAAAAAAUACUAGCCUCCAAACCUUCACCUUCUUUCUAAUUUCUUUCUAAAAAUUCUCUACGUUUUUCCUUCUAAAAAAAAUUCUUGGAGACCAUUAUUCCAAGUUCUUUGGAAUCCUAGAAAAUAGCAAGGUAACUUUGUUGGUGGUGUCCUUCUUCAUUGGAGAAGUUCGAGAUCGUUGAUAACAGUGGAAGAGGAAAGCUAAAAGGAGAUUGAGUGAUUCAAGGUCAUUUGGAGCGAUUUAGAAGAAUUGGGAUCAAAUUUAGAGUUAUUCAGACUUAAGAAAAUUUCUUUGCAUGAAUGUCUGCAAUAUAUUGAAGAGAUUGGAGUGUUUUGAAGUGAAUGGAACCGAACGAUUUGUCUAAAAAUUUGUGAGAGAAGAAGGUUGUUCUUCUGCUGGGUUGCUGCUAUGAGCUUCUCCAAAUUCACUUAAUUCCAGCCUAUUUUGAGUCCCACUACUCAAUCUUGAGUACUAAGAGGAUAAUAGGGAAGAUCUUGGGGUGGUCUAUAAUAAGAUUCUGUGGAGAUUUGCAGCUGGUUCAA